AUUUAUUUUUUAUUUUUUUAGUUUGUUUCAGUUUUUUUCUUUCGGAGAAAAUCAUGUGAUACUGCUUUCUCGAUUUGUUGCACGAGUCGUGACUAUCUCACUCCUUUUGUUGGUAAGGGGUGACCAUUAUGGAUUUGUGAUUUCAUUGUCUUGAGAGGGUAUGAUAUGCCUGAUCACUUUAUGGGAUAUUCUCCUUCUGAAAUUUGAAUGCAAGUUCA
RNAcentral lists this long non-coding RNA (218 nucleotides) under Lathyrus oleraceus (garden pea). RNAcentral's name for it is "Pisum sativum (pea) long non-coding RNA (PSAT_LNC008736)". Lineage: Eukaryota; Viridiplantae; Streptophyta; Magnoliopsida; Fabales; Fabaceae. The record is from RNAcentral.